RNAcentral lists this ribosomal RNA (207 nucleotides) under uncultured bacterium. Its description in RNAcentral is "partial 16S ribosomal RNA". It matches the Rfam family "Bacterial small subunit ribosomal RNA", at positions 568 to 774 of the family's 1533-position model. The record is from RNAcentral.
CUCGUAGGUGGCCAACUAAGUCAGACGUGAAAUCCCUCGGCUUAACCGGGGAACUGCGUCUGAUACUGGAUGGCUUGAGGUUGGGAGAGGGAUGCGGAAUUCCAGGUGUAGCGGUGAAAUGCGUAGAUAUCUGGAGGAACACCGGUGGCGAAGGCGGCAUCCUGGACCAAUUCUGACUCUGAGGAGCGAAAGCUAGGGGAGCAAACG